GGCUCGUUGGUCAAGCGGUCAAGACUCCGGCCUCUCACGCCGGCAACGCGGGUUCGAUUCCCGCACGAGUCACCA
RNAcentral lists this transfer RNA (75 nucleotides) under Clostridia bacterium. RNAcentral describes it as "tRNA-Glu". It matches the Rfam family "tRNA". Rfam says of the family: Transfer RNA (tRNA) molecules are approximately 80 nucleotides in length. Their secondary structure includes four short double-helical elements and three loops (D, anti-codon, and T loops). The record is from RNAcentral. Lineage: Bacteria; Bacillati; Bacillota; Clostridia.